GACCCAGUGGUGAAAAUGCCUCACGCCCGCUUUGAAUCAUCCUGCCAAAUAGCUAUUAUUAUGGGAGUCCCUUGUUCGAACCAAGACUGGGUCA
Molecule: non-coding RNA, 94 nt
Organism: Mycena rebaudengoi
Lineage: Eukaryota; Fungi; Basidiomycota; Agaricomycetes; Agaricales; Mycenaceae
Source: the annotation of a GenBank genome assembly